Molecule: long non-coding RNA, 318 nt
Organism: Paramisgurnus dabryanus
Lineage: Eukaryota; Metazoa; Chordata; Actinopteri; Cypriniformes; Cobitidae
Source: RefSeq, a predicted model, not a curated record
GUGCAAAGGAGGCCGAUGGGACGAGGAGAGGGGGCCGGAGCGAUGAGAGUGAUGAACAACGACUUGUCAAUUCAGUGCACAGAUUAACCCGAGGUCCAAUCGAGCGGCGGUUAAUUAACACACCAGCAUCUAUCACUGACAUUACUGAUGGGUUUAAUCUUUACUAGAGUCUUCAUGGGACUUUCAAGGUUUUUGGAGACAACCAGGACCAAGUUUAAUUUAAAAGAGCCUAUCAAAUUUUUAUGUAUUAAAGAGGGAAGAAGAAGAAGAGUCUUUGAUUCUUUCUUAUGAAAAUAAAAGCAUAACUCUCCUCAACAA